GAUGAAGAACGCAGCGAAAUGCGAUAAGUAAUGUGAAUUGCAGAAUUCAGUGAAUCAUCGAAUCUUUGAACGCACAUUGCGCCCUCUGGUAUUCCGGGGGGCAUGCCUGUUCGAGCGUCAUUAUAACCACUCAAGCUCUCGCUUGGUAUUGGGGCUCUCGGUUCCGCGGCCCCUAAAAUCAGUGGCGGUGCCUGUCGGCUCUACGCGUAGUAAUACUCCUCGCGAUUGAGUCCGGUAGGUCUACUUGCCAGCAACCCCCAAUUUUUACAGGUUGACCUCGGAUCAGGUAGGGAUACCCGCUGAACUUAAGCAUAUCAAUAAGCGGAGGA
RNAcentral lists this unclassified non-coding RNA (329 nucleotides) under soil metagenome. Its description in RNAcentral is "partial contains 5.8S ribosomal RNA, internal transcribed spacer 2, and large subunit ribosomal RNA". The stretch from base 1 to 120 matches the Rfam family "5.8S ribosomal RNA", at positions 35 to 154 of the family's 154-position model. The record is from RNAcentral.